AGAAUCAACGCUGGCGGCGUGCCUAACACAUGCAAGUCGCACGAGAAAGGGGCUUCGGCUCUGAGUAAAGUGGCGCACGGGUGAGUAACACGUGACUAAUCUACCCUCGAGUGGGGAAUAACCUAGAGAAAUCUGGGCUAAUACCGCAUAACACUUACGAGUCAAAGCAGCAAUGCGCUUGGGGAGGAGGUCGCGGCCGAUUAGCUAGUUGGCGGGGUAAUGGCCCACCAAGGCGAUGAUCGGUAUCCGGCCUGAGAGGGCGCACGGACACACUGGAACUGAAACACGGUCCAGACUCCUACGGGAGGCAGCAGUGGGGAAUUUUGCGCAAUGGGGGAAACCCUGACGCAGCAACGCCGCGUGGAGGAUGAAUAUCUUGGUAUGUAAACUCCUUUCGAUGGGGAAGAUUAUGACGGUACCCAUAGAAGAAGCCCCGGCUAACUUCGCGCCAGCAGCCGC
This 459-nucleotide ribosomal RNA is filed under the name uncultured bacterium. Its description in RNAcentral is "SSU rRNA". It matches the Rfam family "Bacterial small subunit ribosomal RNA", at positions 26 to 518 of the family's 1533-position model. The record is from RNAcentral.